Molecule: ribosomal RNA, 425 nt
Filed under: uncultured bacterium
Lineage: Bacteria
Description: bacterial SSU rRNA
Rfam family: Bacterial small subunit ribosomal RNA
Source: RNAcentral
AACGAACGCUGGCGGCGUGCUUAACACAUGCAAGUCGAGCGAGAAAGGUACCUUCGGGUACUGAGUAAAGCGGCGAACGGGUGAGUAACACGUGAGUAACGUGCCCUUCAAUGGGGGAUAACAGUUUGAAAAGACUGCUAAUACCGCAUAAGACCACGACUCCUUAGGGAGAUGGGGUAAAAGGCUUCGGCCGUUGAAGGAUCGGCUCGCGGCCCAUUAGAUAGUUGGUGAGGUAAUGGCUCACCAAGUCUGAGAUGGGUAGCUGGUCUGAGAGGAUGAUCAGCCACACUGGGACUGAGACACGGCCCAGACUCCUACGGGAGGCAGCAGUGGGGAAUCUUGCGCAAUGGACGAAAGUCUGACGCAGCAACGCCGCGUGUGUGAUGAAGGCUUUCGGGUCGUAAAGCACUGUCAGGAGGGAAGAA